AUUGAACGCUGGAGGUAUGCUUAACACAUGCAAGUCGAACGCGAACGUUUCUUCGGAAACAAGUAGAGUGGCGGACGGGUGAGUAACGCGUAGGAAUAUACCUAGUAGUGGGGGAUAACAUGGAGAAAUUCAUGCUAAUACCGCAUAUGUCUUACGAGAUAAAGAGGGCCUCUUCUUGAAAGCUCUUGCUAUUAGAUUAGCCUGCGUCGGAUUAGCUUGUUGGUGAGGUAAUGGCUCACCAAGGCGACGAUCCGUAGCUGGUCUGAGAGGAUGAUCAGCCACACUGGGACUGAGACACGGCCCAGACUCCUACGGGAGGCAGCAGUGGGGAAUAUUGGACAAUGGGCGCAAGCCUGAUCCAGCAAUACCUCGUGUGUGAAGAAGGCCCCUAGGGUUUGUAAAGCACUUUCAAUUGGGACGAAGAGUGUGUACUUAAUACGUGCAUACUUUGACGGUACCUUUAGAAG
RNAcentral lists this ribosomal RNA (467 nucleotides) under uncultured bacterium. RNAcentral's name for it is "bacterial SSU rRNA". It matches the Rfam family "Bacterial small subunit ribosomal RNA", at positions 30 to 487 of the family's 1533-position model. The record is from RNAcentral.